This is a long non-coding RNA of Planococcus citri (citrus mealybug), 874 nucleotides long. RefSeq lists it as uncharacterized. The transcript has 3 exons. The record is from RefSeq and is a predicted model, not a curated record. NCBI's taxonomy places the organism in Eukaryota, Metazoa, Arthropoda, Insecta, Hemiptera, Pseudococcidae.
ACCACGGUUUCUUCACAUUUCAUGUGUUUGGAACCUUGUGGAGAGCGGGGGGGGGCAACUCUAUCGCGUUGCCUGAUAUACCUAUGUUCUUGAUAAUAUUACCUGUAUACUUGACCAUACGUGUUUCUGAAUCAGUUGCUUAAUUUCCACUACAGCCAAAAUGUUUCAACAUUUUUUUGUACGCGUAUUUUGCAUUUUGCUUCUGAUUUUUCAUUUCGUAAAUUUAGCACCAUCUAAACCAUGCAAUGAUCCAAAUGAGGUAAGACGUUCAUGCGCUCCAAAUCCUGGUUGUAGAACUUGUGGAGUAAAGUUUUGUACUAAGGAAUGUUACAUUGAUGCAUGUAUUUGCAAAAGGGGCUUUCGUUACAAUGCUGCAGGAAUAUGUAUACCUAGAAAACAGUGCCCACGACGAGCGUAAUUUCAAGUAUUGAACUGAAUUGAAAAAAAUGCCCAACUAAUCACCGUAGGUAUUCGAAGUUCGAACAUCUUUAUUUAAAAUUUCGCCAGCCAUUACUUAUGCCAUAUAGCCUAUUAUACAGUGAGGUCGAUUGAUCUUAGACACAUUUUACGUAAGUAGGUAAUAAAUAAUUUUGUCCAAAUCACAAGGAGUUAUUUUAUGUGUUUUCAACGAAACAGAUGUUCGUAUUUAUCAUUACCUGCCUCAAAUGUAUAAGAUCAAUCACAAUCUCACUGUACAUCAUUUUCAGCAGUAUCACGGCAGGAAUCAUGUACAUCUAUGGGAAAUUGUCAAGAUACGAGUAGUUCCACAACUAUCAUAUUUUCAUCUUAUUGUGAAUCGGAAUGAAGACAAAUUCUGUACCAACAGCACGUAAAAAUUUUUUAAAUAAAAAGUUUGAAAAUUUGCUCGAACAAA